ACACUGUUCAUGGGUUACCGCGGCUGCUGGCACGGAGUUAGCCGGUGCUUCUUCUGUGAGUGAUGUCCUUCCUGCCGGCUAUUAACCCGCAGGCCUUCUUCCUCACUGAAAGUGCUUUACAACCCGAAGGCCUUCUUCACACACGCGGCAUGGCUGGAUCAGGGUUGCCCCCAUUGUCCAAUAUUCCCCACUGCUGCCUCCCGUAGGAGUCUGGGCCGUGUCUCAGUCCCAGUGUGGCUGAUCAUCCUCUCAGACCAGCUACGGAUCGUCGCCUUGGUGAGCCGUUACCUCACCAACCAGCUAAUCCGACAUAGGCUCAUCCGAUAGCGCGAGGCCCGAAGGUCCCCCGCUUUCCCCCGUAGGGCGUAUGCGGUAUUAGCCUGGGUUUCCCCCAGGUUAUCCCCCACUACCGGGGCAGAUUCCUAUGCAUUACUCACCCGUCCGCCGCUCGCCACCAGGGAGCAAGCUCCCCGUGCUGCCGCUCGACUUGCAUGUGUUAGG
RNAcentral lists this ribosomal RNA (501 nucleotides) under uncultured bacterium. RNAcentral describes it as "partial 16S ribosomal RNA". The record is from RNAcentral.